AAAGCAGAUCGCCUUAUCGCCUUGAUUUAGAUCAGGGAGGAAAGUCCGGACACCAUAGGGCAGUAUAGUGGGUAACACCCACCGAUCUUAACUCCGGUUUUACCGGAAGUGGGAUCAGGACCAGUGCAACAGAAAGUAUGUACAGAUAAUGCUGUAGUGAAACCAGGUAAACUCUAUGCGGUGCAAUGCCAUGUAUACCGGUAUUUAAGGGCGGCCCGUCCGUUGCCGGAGGGUAGGCAGCUAAAGGUUUUUGGCAACAAAAAUCUCAGAUAAAUGAUAAGGGUCCCGGAGUUUUUCGGGAUACAGAAUCCGGAUUAUAGAUCUGCUUUUUUU
RNAcentral lists this RNase P RNA (333 nucleotides) under Gillisia limnaea. RNAcentral's name for it is "Bacterial RNase P class A". It matches the Rfam family "Bacterial RNase P class A". Rfam says of the family: Ribonuclease P (RNase P) is a ubiquitous endoribonuclease, found in archaea, bacteria and eukarya as well as chloroplasts and mitochondria. Lineage: Bacteria; Pseudomonadati; Bacteroidota; Flavobacteriia; Flavobacteriales; Flavobacteriaceae. RNAcentral also lists the same sequence under 1 other name. The record is from RNAcentral.